This is a long non-coding RNA of Lolium perenne, 1848 nucleotides long. RefSeq lists it as uncharacterized. Lineage: Eukaryota; Viridiplantae; Streptophyta; Magnoliopsida; Poales; Poaceae. The record is from RefSeq and is a predicted model, not a curated record.
ACUGGAGCAACAACUGCUGGUAUAACCUGAACGCGGUGGAGGUUAUUGGAGAGAUGCAUGUCCGGGAUCCUCUGCUUCCGCCGUACACCACGGUCGGCGUCGGAAUUCGCUAACCCCAGGUUGCCUUUCAGUGCAAGGUUGCCUUGCAUUCUGACCCUAUGCUUUACUUAAUCCAAGGCGAGCCGUUGUUCAUUUCCCAAGCCCUUUGCAAGGUUUGAAACGUCUGGCAAAUUCUGAUCCUAUGGUCAUGUGCUCCAUGGAGGAGUGCUGAGCAUAUUAUUGAUGGAGCUGGAGAGCUGCACCUUGAAAUUCAUUUAAAGGAUCUGCAUGAGGACUUCAUGGGUGGUGCUGAAAUUACUGUUUUUUUCCUCUUGGAAUUAUGAAUGGACGGUGCUAUCCCACUUGGAAUUUUCUACAUCCAAGAAAACUGGAGCUUGAUGAUUGUGUACCUCAGAAAAGCAUCAUAGUGAAGUUACUCAUUUUAGGUUGGCACACCGCAGGUUAAUUGCUUCGUCAAUGACUCUGGUGUAGAUGUAAGGUUCUUUUCUUAGGUACUGGAUAACAGGUGUUUUACUUUUGUACUCACCGCACGCUUGCCGUUGGAGAAGGCACAUGAGGGUGUUGUGGCGGAGGCGUUUGGUGUUGCUCUCAUGGGUAUUGUGGUGGCAAUGUCAAGGCAUCUCACCACAUCCAGACAACAACCUUGAUCCACAUGUUGUAUUGGGAGUUGGAAGGAAUUGCAUAUAAGACUACCACAGGUGCGACCUAACCGACUUGGAUUUCGUUGUUAUCAUGAUCCAUUAGAUGUCGCCACCGCUGGCUGGACCUUCUGGUGUUUGAUAAUCUAACCUUUGCAGAUUUGUUGUCUUCAAAUACGGCUAAAUUCGAAGGCACCAUGAUCUCAAAGCAAGCACUGAGUCUCGAAUUGAAGGUGUUUGAUGAAAAGGCAAGCAGGUUGCAUUGAAAUAUUAAUCCAUAGUUGCUAAAGAGAUGGACGAGAUCACAGAGCCAAGGAGAGGUGGUGCCCACUCACCGCGCGCUUGCUACUGAAGAUGUGUUAUUUGACUUAAACAGUUUUCAGAUUUAUUUUCUUUGCUUCUUUGAUAUUUUUUAUGUUAUGGUUACUGAUUGAAACAAUCAUUUUUCAGCGAGAGGCAAUUUCAAAUAGAUUUCUUCCCCUUCCCCUCAUGCAUUGUGCGGCAAAUUAGUGCGGCUGAACGGACUGCACUACAUGGGUUUCAGCUAGGGGGUGCGAGAGGCAAUUUUUCAACUGACUCUAGGUGCUCAAGUGCUCGGUCUUAACAACCGUACUAUUAUAUCUCUUUUUUCGGACUCUCCGGUAACGAGUGAAGGAGAGGUGGUGCAGGGGGGCCGUGUGAAGCAACACUGGUGCUGGCUACAGCUCAAGAAAAUGAAGAAGAGAUAUGUCUAUGUUAGUGAAUGCAUGUGUGAUCAAAAUAAUUUACAUGAGGUAAUCAGUUCCCUGGUUAUUACCGGGUACCCGCCACUUAACAUGAAGUGCUCUCUCGGGAUGACGAGAAGCUAUGGUUGUGAUAACCGGUGCUCAGAAGACUAUCUAUACAUGUAGGUAGUCAUGCUGACGUGCCUUGGUUUGCCUACCAUACCUACCAGUUGUUAAGCUUUGUCUUCAUAAUAGUAUAUGUACUUUACUGUUUGUUCUUACCAUAGUGCGUAUGCUCUAUACUUCCAUGUUUUCGCAAUAUAUAUUUGACAUUCUGGUGGUUUGUAAAUAUUAGAGCGAAAGAACUAUCUACCCUGGAGACUCAUGAAUGUAACCUUAUGUAUGGCUUUAAAUUAAAGUGCCAGUAUAUAUUUUUUUUCUUACAA